AAGAAGUCAGGCCGGAUUAAGCCAUAGUACGGUAAGAGCUAUGCUGCCUGUGAGCCCCGUCUAAGGACGCAAAAUGAAGUCAGGCCGAAAGCCACGGUUUGAGCAAACCGUGCUGCCUGUAGCUCCAUCGUGGGGAUGUAAAAACCUGGGAGGCUGCAACCCAUGGAAGCUGUACGCAUGGGGUAGCAGACUAGUGGUUAGAGGAGACCC
Molecule: long non-coding RNA, 210 nt
Filed under: dengue virus type 1
Lineage: Riboviria; Orthornavirae; Kitrinoviricota; Flasuviricetes; Amarillovirales; Flaviviridae
Description: dengue virus type I partial sfRNA1
Rfam family: Flavivirus DB element (bases 149-210)
Source: RNAcentral